RNAcentral lists this ribosomal RNA (395 nucleotides) under Thalassiosira rotula. RNAcentral describes it as "partial Bacterial large subunit ribosomal RNA". It matches the Rfam family "Bacterial large subunit ribosomal RNA", at positions 1956 to 2353 of the family's 2925-position model. Lineage: Eukaryota; Bacillariophyta; Thalassiosirophyceae; Thalassiosirales; Thalassiosiraceae. The record is from RNAcentral.
GUAGCGAAAUUCCUUGUCGGGUAAGUUCCGACCUGCACGAAUGGCGUAACGACUUCCCCGCUGUCUCCAGCAUAGACUCAGUGAAAUUGAAUUCCCCGUGAAGAUGCGGGGUUCCUGCGGUCAGACGGAAAGACCCCGUGCACCUUUACUACAGCUUCACACUGGUAUUCGUCACGACAUGUGUAGGAUAGGUGGUAGACGUUGAAGCCUUGGCGCCAGCUGAGGUGGAGUCACCCUUGAAAUACCACCCUUGUCGUCAUGGAUAUCUAACCGCGGUACAACAAUAUCCGGGACCGUGCGUGGCGGGUAGUUUGACUGGGGCGGUCGCCUCCCAAAUAGUAACGGAGGCGCGCGAAGGUUGGCUCAGAGCGGUCGGAAAUCGCUCGUUGAGUGCA